CCUACGGGGGGCAGCAGUGGGGAAUAUUGGGCAAUGGAGGCAACUCUGACCCAGCAACGCCGCGUGAAUGAUGAAGGUCUUCGGAUUGUAAAGUUCUGUGAUGGGGGAUGAACACAAUGACGGUACCCCAAUAGCAAGCCACGGCUAACUACGUGCCAGCAGCCGCGGUAAUACGUAGGUGGCAAGCGUUAUCCGGAAUGAGUGGGCGUAAAGGGGGCGUAGGUGGUUUAGUAAGUGGGCGGGGUAAUCCCGGGGCUCAACCCGGGCGCUACCGCAAAAACUAUGGGGCUAGAGUGCAGGAGGGGUAGGGGGAAUUCCUGGUGUAGCGGUGAAAUGCGUAGAUAUAAGGAGGAACACCGGGGGCGAAGGCGGCCUGUUGGACUGCAACUGACGCGGAGGCACGAAAGCGUGGGGAGCAAACAGGAUUAGAUACCCGUGUAGUC
RNAcentral lists this ribosomal RNA (443 nucleotides) under uncultured bacterium. RNAcentral's name for it is "partial 16S ribosomal RNA". It matches the Rfam family "Bacterial small subunit ribosomal RNA", at positions 338 to 795 of the family's 1533-position model. The record is from RNAcentral.